GAUGAACGCUGACAGAAUGCUUAACACAUGCAAGUCUUUGGCGAAGCUGUGCUUGCACCGCCUAGCCAAGGCGGACGGGUGGGUAACGCGUAAGGAACUUGCCCUGCAGUCAGGGAUAACAGACGGAAACGACUGAUAAGACCUGGUAAAGUCAGGCGGACUCAUGUCCAGCCUGAUGAAAAGUGAUGCUGCAGGAGAGCCUUGCGUCCUAUUAGCUUGUUGGUGGGGUAACGGCCCACCAAGGCGAUGAUAGGUAGCCGGCCUGAGAGGGUGGACGGCCACAAGGGGACUGAGAUACGGCCCUUACUCCUACGGGAGGCAGCAGUGGGGAAUAUUGGACAAUGGGGGCAACCCUGAUCCAGCAAUUCUGUGUGCACGAUGAAGGUUUUCGGAUUGUAAAGUGCUUUCAGCAGGGAAGAAAAAAAUGACGGUACCUGCAGAAGAAGCGACGGCUAAAUACGUG
Molecule: ribosomal RNA, 463 nt
Filed under: uncultured bacterium
Lineage: Bacteria
Description: partial 16S ribosomal RNA
Rfam family: Bacterial small subunit ribosomal RNA
Source: RNAcentral